GCCAAAACCCUAGCUACAACACCACCAAAUACCACCAAAACUAAACCAAACCAUUUGCCCCGCCUAGUAUCCGCGACAGAAAAGCACAUACACGCAAUAGUAAACAGUACCGCAAGGAAACAGUGAAAGAAAAAUCUAAACUUACGCACCAAAAAGCAGACUUUAACCCCCGUACCUUUUGCCUCAUGGUUCAGCAAGAAAACAUCAGAUAAAAUGAACUAAAACCUGCUACCCCGAAUCCAGACGAGCUACCUAAGAGCAAUCUUAUGGAUACACCCAUCUCUGUGGCAAAAGAGCGGGAAGACUUCUAGGUAGCGGUGAAACGCCUAUCGAGCCUGGUGAUAGCUGGUUGCUCACUAAAUGAAUCUAAGUUCAACUCUGGCCCCACCACCAUGAACACCAUUACACCCUGCCCAAGCCAGAAGAUAAACAAUAAGGGAACAGCUUUAUUGUUAUCGAGUACAACCGAAACUAGAGGAAAACCAAACAUAAUCAACGUAGGCCCUCAAGCAGCCAUCAAACAAAACCGCGUCAAAGCAACAUCAAUCCAAAAAUACCAAACCAAACUAAGCCCCCCUACAACAAACCGAGCUACUUUAAUUAAACUUAAAGGAAACACUGCUAAAACUAGUAAUAAGACAACCGCCUCUGCCGCACCCCUGUACAUCAUAACGGAUUAACCAAUGACAAUUAACAGCCUAAAAAGAACUAUAAACUAACCCAAGCCCUCUUACCUAAACUCACUGUUACCCCAACACAGGCGUGCAUACAGACAGCUUUAAAGCUGCAAAAGGAACUCAGCUAACCCUGCUCCACCUGUUUACCAAAAACACCGCCUUUAGCGAACCAAGUAUUAAAGGUCAAACCUGCCCAGUGAAUCUUUUAAACGGCCGCGGUAUCCUAACCGUGCAAAGGUAGCGUAAUCACUUGUCUCUUAAUUAGAGACUAGUAUGAACGGUCUCCUGAGAGCAACCCUGUCUCCUUCAGCUAACCAAUGAAACUGAUCUUCUAGUAAAAAAGCUAGAAUUACACCACAAGACGAGAAGACCCUAUGGAGCUUUAAAUAACACCACUAAUAAUAAACUAACCCGUCUACUGACCACACCAUAAAAUAAUAGUGACACUUUUAAGUUGGGGCGACUACGGAGCAAAACAAAACCUCCACGACCCAGAAUAAACUCAUUCUAGACAGACAUGUCAAACAUAUCCACCACAGACCCAGUACAUACUGAUCAUCGAACCAAGUUACCCUAGGGAUAACAGCGCCAUCCCCUUCAAGAGUCCUUAUCGCCAAGCGGGGCUUACGACCUCGAUGUUGGAUCAGGGCACCCAAGUGGGGCAGCCCCUACUAAAGGUUCGUUUGUUCAACGACUAACGCCCUACGUGAUCUGAGUUCAGACCGGAGUAAUCCAGGUCGGUUUCUAUCUGUGCUCCUCCUUCUUCAGUACGAAAGGACCAAGAAGAAAGCGCCCAUACCACUAGCACGCGCUCUCCUAAACACUGACCACAAAACUAAAGAAACAGGCCCUAAAACAGCCCUAAACCAGGGCUAA
Molecule: ribosomal RNA, 1553 nt
Filed under: Heteronotia binoei (common prickly gecko)
Lineage: Eukaryota; Metazoa; Chordata; Lepidosauria; Squamata; Gekkonidae
Description: large subunit ribosomal RNA
Rfam family: Bacterial large subunit ribosomal RNA
Source: RNAcentral